RNA transcript from Orcinus orca (killer whale), 3857 nucleotides. It is a transcript of the gene named transmembrane protein 92, with no coding region annotated. The transcript is spliced from 2 exons. Lineage: Eukaryota; Metazoa; Chordata; Mammalia; Artiodactyla; Delphinidae. The record is from RefSeq and is a predicted model, not a curated record.
CCCCGGUGCAUCAGCUCCGCCCCCAUCCUGAGGCGGGGCCCUAUAGGUGGAGAGUCGUGGGAGAGGUCGCGGCCCCGCCUCUCCCCUCUUCCCCCUACACACGGAAGCUCAGUGGCCCCCCUGCCAGGAUGUCAGCCACCUGGGUUCCUGGCCUAGUACCCACCUUGCUGCUCGGCCUGCUGGCCGGCCUCCAACAGGUGAGCGCUUGGGAGGUAAAGUUGUGGAACUUUCGGGGCCCUACUCUUGUGGGUCAGGGGCCUGCUUCUGGGUCCCGGUCACCACCUUCCACUGUCAGGAUUUCCUCGUUACCACAUGCAGUUAGCAACUUCCUUUCUCUUUUUGCCGGGGAGGUAAGAGCAGAGGGAGGCCCUGAGAAGGCCUGGGUUCCUUCAUCUCGUGGGGGACUGUGUCGUGGGAACUACUCGCGCCCACCGUCAUCUGACACUUAACUCCUCUUGGUGACUGGGGACUUUGACCCUCACGUUAGCCUUGGCUCCUUCUCGCUGCGUCAGAAAGCGGGGACUAGCGGAGGGCCUGAGGUCUGGACUGAGAUCUGGACGCCUGGUCAGCCUAUCUCCCCAGCUCCAUUCUUCACAGUGCUGGGUGACCUUGGGGAAGUCCUAGCCCUCUCUGGGACUGUGUUUCUCUGCUUGUGCCCUAGAGGAAAGGAGGCUCCCUCUUCCCUUUCUAGGAGUGGGGGUAGGAUUACAGCUGGUGAUAGGAUUUGACCUGGCUGCCUGACCCAAGACUGGGGUGACCUCUGAAACCUGUGAUUUCCGAGGAUGAGGCAGGGUUUCAACACCCCCUCAUCCCUCCCUGCCCCAGUGAUGGGGGCAGUCUAUCCAGUUUUGGGAUGGGAGAUUAUCCUAGAAACUGACAUAGGUCUAGAACAUGGGUUUUUAACUUCUGUGUAAGAGUCUGAGGGAAGGCCCAGGCCUGCUCCCCACGACAUUCACUGCCUGCUGAGCGGCUGUGCUCCAGAAGCCCUGUUACUCCUUCUCUAUCAUCAGCGGUGGUGGGUUGGUGCCAGCACUAGGCUGAGCAUUUGUUGAUUCCUCCCGGCAACUCCAGGGGGCAGGCUGUUAAUGCCCCCAGUGCGCAUGUAAGUAAGUUGAAACUACCCAAGGUUACCCCAACGCUUGACACCACCUCAGUCGAGACCACCACCUGUUUAAAAUGGGGGUGGGGGAAGAGGAUCUGGGAGAGGAUCCCCUACUCCUCCAAACAGGAGCUCAGGAUUAAUUCCGUAAACCUGUUCAUUGCUUGUCUUUCUUAGUUGGGGGCCAGGAGAAGGGGGAGGGACAGGGGAUGGGAUCUGAGGGAAAGGGGGUACACUGAGUGCCUGGACCCCGUGGGCUGUCCCCAACUCUGCAGUCACCUUACCCUCUCUGGGCCAACCUGCAGGGGUUCAUUCCUGCUCUUGAGCCCACUGGCCAAGACCUGUGGGAAUCAGCCCCAAUCUUAUUGGCUGUCAUUGGUAUCUUAGCUUUACUGUUAUUGUCGUUAACAGUUGAACUGUCAUUUCAAGGUAUAAAGACAUGGUGGUCUUCGGACUUCCCUGGCAGGACAGGGGUUAAGACUGCACGCUUUCACGGCAGGAUGCACGGGUUUGAUCCCUGGUCAGGGAACUAAGAUCCUGUAUGUUGGUGGCGCGGCCAAAAAAAAAAAAGACAUGGUGGUCUCGCCAAAGUUGGCUUCUUAUUCUUGAGCCAUGGUUGUUCAUCUCCCUGGAGGCUGGGGUGGGGUGACAGAUAACCUCCCGUUUGCUGUGUUCCUCUACCUGCAUUCCUCCCCCACGGUCUGGGAGCAGCCAGGAUGAAAGGAAACCAGGUUGUCAGUGCUCUUUCAUUCAGUCUGCCGAAAUCGUGAGUAUUGGUUUUCAAUAGACAAAAAUCCCUCCCCUGGCGGGGUUUACAUUCUACUGAGGAGACAAACAAGUAGCAAGAUAAAGUAAAAUAUAUAGUAUGUUAGAUGUGGACAAGAGCUAUGCAGAUAAAGUAAGCACAGUUAGGGGAAAGGGAGUGCUUUGGGGGAGUAGAUGUAAUUUUAAGGAAGAUGGUCAGAGAAGGCGCUGGAGCCAGCCUCUCAGAUACCUGGGGAAAGAACUUUCCAAGCAGGGCUUACGCACGUAUUUGCUAUUAAUCAGGUUAAAUUCCGUAAUGAUAGCCUCCGUGUGGCACAGAACUAGUGCAGAAGAGGGAGGGAGGGAGGAGCUUGUUCCUGCAGGCAUGUGUAAAACAGUCAGACGUGUUCAGAGAACUCCCAGUGGGUGGGUGUGCAGGAGGGCCAGGGGGAGUGGGAAUGGGGGAUAGGGCUGGUCAUGGUGUCUGGGCCCCAGGGAGCCACUGAAGGAGGCUUCCAGCAAGGUUUUAGGUGUUCAGAUGUGUGGGAUAGAAACUUGCAGCAGUGUUGGGAGUGACGGAGUGGGCGCGGGGGUUGCUGGAGUCCUGGCCGUGGUGGGGAUGGGUUGGAAGGGUGGUCAGAAGCCGUGAGCUUACAGACCUGGGGGUGAGCAAAUGUGGCAGGAGGUGUGGUGAGGAGAGGAAGGACAGCUGGGACCACGAGGUGGCGCUGGGGCUGCAGCCACCGACCCGGGGAACAUGUGGAGGGAGGUGGAGAGCAAGUGUGGGGGAAGAUGCUGAUCCUCUGGGACCUGCUAGCAGUGAGGUACCUGGGCAGCACCUGGUGGAAACCCCAGCCCCCAGUUUAUGACCCAGACCUCCGCCUCUUUUCUUCCACAGGCUGCAGCCACAUGUGGUCUCUUCUUGUAAGUCUGGGAUUUGGGCUGUAACUUCCACUGUGGGGAGGAGACAUCCCAGAUCCUGCCCUGCCUGCCUUCAUCAUCCUCACCCUCUCCCCUUCUAGCCAGAAGCCAUACUCCGACCCAGAGAGGGAGACUCCGCCCCUCACUCCUUCCAGCAGCCUAUCCACGGGCAGUUUCACAUUUGCGGGCCAAUCCCCAUCCUUCUGACGCCAGCCUUAGGCCACCUCCCCUCUGAGGGUCUCCCUGGAAGCGAGGGCAAACACUCUCACUCUAUAAACGCUGAGAAGCCCAAGCACGAUGAGGAGGGGCUGAGGGGGGUGGCCUCUGGGCAGCCAAGUGUUUCCAGCAGUCAGCCCUGGAUGUUCCAGGGACACCGUGUCCCUCCCACCUCCUGCUCCGUGGCCACCAGCACCAGCUCACUCUUCCUGGAAUUAGCUCCUGGCCCCUCCCCACUGUCCCUCUUCCUCUACAUCUCCUUAGAGCGAUGUUGUAGCCACUACAACACUCAGUCCCCACACCCGCCCAGUGAGGUCGACAGGACCUUCAUUCCACCCAUCUUAUAGAUGAGGAAAGUGAGGCCUAGCAAGGAAUGUGACUUGGCACGAGUGCAUGAGGCCAGUAGUGAGCUGAGCCUGAAACCCAGGUCCUGAUCCCAGCCCCAGGUUCCUCCCACUGAGCCCAGGGGGCCUGUACCUCCACCCUGCUAGGGGUGCGGCUCGUGCCCUGAGCGCGUGGGUGAGUUUUAGGGAAGCUGGGAUCCUUCUGCCUCCCCACCUUGGUACCGAUGGCCUCUCUCUGACCCGGUCCGCAGCACCUGCCCUAAAGGGUUCAGCUGCUGUGGUAACAGCUGCUGCCAGCAGUACCAGCCAGAGCAGUUCCAGCUCUUCUCUGGCCCCUUGAGGUGAGCCUUGGGCCGGUUCCUCUGGCCCACCCAGGACUGGACUGGACUUCCUGCUGAGGGGAUCUUUGUCGUCGUCUUUCUGAUCAUCAUACCCCUCUUGUGCAUCUGUGGCCUGGCUAAGCGCUUCUGUCGCAACUGCAGAAAGUCGGAGCAGGACCCCCCAACGGAUCAUGAGGGGCCCCCAGAACGGCC